GUCCACGCUGUAAACGAUGAGAACUAGGUGUAGGGAAUACCCUGUGCCGAAGCUAACGCAUUAAGUUCUCCGCCUGGGGAGUACGUUCGCAAGAAUGAAACUUAAAGGAAUUGACGGGGCCCGCACAAGCAGUGGAGCAUGUGGUUUAAUUCGACGCAACGCGAAGAACCUUACCAGGGCUUGACAUAGUUGUCCAAAGCUCUAGAGAUAGAGAAAUAGUUAGGACUUUUACAGGUGGUGCAUGGUUGUCGU
RNAcentral lists this ribosomal RNA (252 nucleotides) under uncultured bacterium. RNAcentral's name for it is "partial 16S ribosomal RNA". It matches the Rfam family "Bacterial small subunit ribosomal RNA", at positions 793 to 1055 of the family's 1533-position model. The record is from RNAcentral.